This 110-nucleotide Y RNA is filed under the name Colobus angolensis palliatus. RNAcentral's name for it is "Y RNA (ENSCANG00000010995.1)". It matches the Rfam family "Y RNA". From Rfam's summary of the family: Y RNAs are components of the Ro ribonucleoprotein particle (Ro RNP), in association with Ro60 and La proteins. The Y RNAs and Ro60 and La proteins are well conserved, but the function of the Ro RNP is not known. Lineage: Eukaryota; Metazoa; Chordata; Mammalia; Primates; Cercopithecidae. The record is from Rfam by way of RNAcentral.
GGCUUGUUCAAAGGAACUGAGUUUUCUCGGUUGAUUACAGUCAGUUACAGAUUGAACUCUUUGUUCUAUCCUUCCCCUGCCUUCUUACUGUUGCACUUGACUAGUAUUUA